This 253-nucleotide ribosomal RNA is filed under the name uncultured bacterium. RNAcentral's name for it is "partial 16S ribosomal RNA". It matches the Rfam family "Bacterial small subunit ribosomal RNA", at positions 524 to 776 of the family's 1533-position model. The record is from RNAcentral.
UACGGAGGGGGCUAGCGUUGUUCGGAAUUACUGGGCGUAAAGCGCACGUAGGCGGCUUUGUAAGUUAGAGGUGAAAACCUGGGGCUCAACUCCGGGCCUGCAGCCGAUACGGGCAGACUAGAGUUCGGCAGGGGAGACUGGAAUUCCUGGUGUAGCGGUGAAAUGCGCAGAGAUCCGGAGGAACACCAGUGGCGAAGGCGGCUCGCUGGGCUCUACCUGACGCUGAGGCGCGAAAGCGUGGGGAGCGAACCGG